AAAAAACUUAAAAGAUAUUGAUUACAUGUUGCAGGUAGAUGUGUGUAUGCAUACUUCUUGUUGUAGAUAGAUGUGUUUAUGCAUACUUGUUCCAAAGCACCACUACCUGAAAGACUUGGUCAUUCUUAUUUUGGAUGUCUUUAAAGGGGAUGAAACUUUAUCGAAGGAACUUAUCUUGCAAAUAGUUUAACUAGCUGAUUAAUGUCUUUGUUUCACAUUGCAUUUUGUUGGAAAUAGUUUGUUGAAGGCCAUGUAUAGCUUUACCAUGCUUUAGCCCUGAAUUUGAUCUUAAAACUCCAAAACUUAUGGCUCACAGGUGGUUAAGGUUGCUGAUUUUG
Molecule: unclassified non-coding RNA, 338 nt
Filed under: Hevea brasiliensis (rubber tree)
Lineage: Eukaryota; Viridiplantae; Streptophyta; Magnoliopsida; Malpighiales; Euphorbiaceae
Source: RNAcentral